UAAGAAGAAUGUGUCGGAGAUGCUAAAGC
This 29-nucleotide non-coding RNA is filed under the name Rattus norvegicus (Norway rat). The record is from RNAcentral. Lineage: Eukaryota; Metazoa; Chordata; Mammalia; Rodentia; Muridae.